This 466-nucleotide ribosomal RNA is filed under the name uncultured bacterium. Its description in RNAcentral is "partial 16S ribosomal RNA". It matches the Rfam family "Bacterial small subunit ribosomal RNA", at positions 28 to 507 of the family's 1533-position model. The record is from RNAcentral.
GACGAACGCUGGCGGCGCGCCUAACAAAUGCAAGUCGAACGAGCGAGAGAGAGCUUGCUUUCUCGAGCGAGUGGCGAACGGGUGAGUAACGCGUGAGGAACCUGCCUCAAAGAGGGGGACAACAGUUGGAAACGACUGCUAAUACCGCAUAAGCCCACGGUGCCGCAUGGCACAGAGGGAAAAGGAGCAAUCCGCUUUGAGAUGGCCUCGCGUCCGAUUAGCUAGUUGGUGAGGUAAUGGCCCACCAAGGCGACGAUCGGUAGCCGGACUGAGAGGUUGAACGGCCACAUUGGGACUGAGACACGGCCCAGACUCCUACGGGAGGCAGCAGUGGGGAAUAUUGCACAAUGGGGGAAACCCUGAUGCAGCGACGCCGCGUGGAGGAAGAAGGUCUUCGGAUUGUAAACUCCUGUUGUUGGGGAAGAUAAUGACGGUACCCAACAAGGAAGUGACGGCUAACUACGUG